This is a long non-coding RNA of Dreissena polymorpha, 622 nucleotides long. RefSeq lists it as uncharacterized. The transcript is spliced from 3 exons. The record is from RefSeq and is a predicted model, not a curated record. NCBI's taxonomy places the organism in Eukaryota, Metazoa, Mollusca, Bivalvia, Myida, Dreissenidae.
CAGAUUCGCACAAACGAUGCGCACGUUUACUUUUCAUAACUGCGGCUCUAAUUCGAAUUGAAUUAAAUUAGUGGUCGGCAAGAGAAUCUAUAAUGGAGGAUCCUACAGACACAAUUAUAGCUGUGGGCUUUGCAGGAAUGUAAGCACCUGAAUUCGGGAGCUUACCGCGUUUAAGUGAGAAAGUUGGAACAAAACUUCAAAGAUGGCGUCGUUUGUUUGGUUUUCUUGAAGGAAGAGAGGAUAGUUUCACCCGAUGAUGAAGGUUAAAGGGCGAUAAUAAGUGCAUCUUUCGUUGCAGUAUAAAAUUAUGUAAUUAGGAAUUUAAAAUUAGCGGAGGACUGGGAUACCAUUCUCCAUUCAUAGACCACAUGAGUUUAAAUGUAGAAUAUGCAAGAGAGAGUCCUUCAACAGAGCCGGACUAAAAAGCAAAUAAAACAAACGAACCUAACACAAAAUGUACAGCUGAUGUAUUAAGUUUUUUUGUUUUUGUUUUUUAUUAUUUCUACAUAGACAAGUCUGACAUAUAAUUACUAUGAGUGCUACUUAAUUACACGUUUUGUUCCGUAUAUGUCAUGAUGCUAGUUUCUCACUUUUUUAUGAAAAUAAACCAUUAUCUGUGUUA